GUGCCAGCCGCCGCGGUAAUACGGAGGGUGCAAGCGUUGUCCGAAAUUAUUGGGUGUAAAGGGUGUGCAGGCGGAGGUCUAUGUCGGAGGUGAAAGUCGGCCGCUUAACGGUCGUCGUGCCUUCGAAACUGGAUCUCUUGAGUUCGGAAAAGGUCGGUGGAAUUCGUGGUGUAGCGGUGAAAUGCAUAGAUAUCACGAAGAACACCAGUGGCGAAAGCGGCCGGCCGGUCCGAUACUGACGCUGAGACACGAAAGCGUGGGGAGCGAACAGGAUUAGAUACCCGGGUAGUCC
Molecule: ribosomal RNA, 292 nt
Filed under: uncultured bacterium
Lineage: Bacteria
Description: partial 16S ribosomal RNA
Rfam family: Bacterial small subunit ribosomal RNA
Source: RNAcentral